UACGUAGGGUGCGAGCGUUGUCCGGAAUUAUUGGGCGUAAAGGGCUCGUAGGGGGUCUGUUGCGUCGGGAGUGAAAACUCAGGGCUUAACCCUGAGCCUGCUUCCGAUACGGGCAGACUAGAGGUAUGCAGGGGAGAACGGAAUUCCUGGUGUAGCGGUGAAAUGCGCAGAUAUCAGGAGGAACACCGGUGGCGAAGGCGGUUCUCUGGGCAUUACCUGACGCUGAGGAGCGAAAGUGUGGGGAGCGAACAGG
This 253-nucleotide ribosomal RNA is filed under the name uncultured bacterium. RNAcentral describes it as "partial 16S ribosomal RNA". It matches the Rfam family "Bacterial small subunit ribosomal RNA", at positions 524 to 776 of the family's 1533-position model. The record is from RNAcentral.